ACCUGCAUGGCUCAAUCGGUUGAGCGUCUGACUGCAGCUCAGGUCAUGAUCUCACAGUUCGCGGGUUUGAGCCCCGUGUCGGGCU
This 85-nucleotide transfer RNA is filed under the name Neisseria flavescens NRL30031/H210. Its description in RNAcentral is "tRNA-Cys". It matches the Rfam family "tRNA". Rfam says of the family: Transfer RNA (tRNA) molecules are approximately 80 nucleotides in length. Their secondary structure includes four short double-helical elements and three loops (D, anti-codon, and T loops). The record is from RNAcentral. Lineage: Bacteria; Pseudomonadati; Pseudomonadota; Betaproteobacteria; Neisseriales; Neisseriaceae.